UAGUCUGGGAAACUGCCUGAUGGAGGGGGAUAACUACUGGAAACGGGAGCUAAUACCGCAUAACGUCGCAAGACCAAAUGGGGGACCUUCGGGCCUCAUGCCAUCAGAUGUGCCCAGAUGGGAUUAGCUAGUAGGUGGGGUAAAGGCUCACCUAGGCGACGAUCUCUAGCUGGUCUGAGAGGAUGAUCAGCCACACUGGGACUGAGACACGGCCCAG
RNAcentral lists this ribosomal RNA (217 nucleotides) under uncultured bacterium. RNAcentral's name for it is "partial 16S ribosomal RNA". It matches the Rfam family "Bacterial small subunit ribosomal RNA", at positions 113 to 334 of the family's 1533-position model. The record is from RNAcentral.